This 359-nucleotide transfer-messenger RNA is filed under the name Halorhodospira halochloris. RNAcentral's name for it is "Standard tmRNA". It matches the Rfam family "transfer-messenger RNA". From Rfam's summary of the family: Bacterial tmRNA, also known as 10Sa RNA or SsrA, is named for its dual tRNA and mRNA-like properties. Lineage: Bacteria; Pseudomonadati; Pseudomonadota; Gammaproteobacteria; Chromatiales; Ectothiorhodospiraceae. The record is from Rfam by way of RNAcentral.
GGGGGCGACAUGGCUUCGACGCGGGUCGCGAAACCCGAGGUGCAUGCCGAGGUGACAGUCUACCUCGUAAAACAGGCUGUAAGCUUAAAAUAGUUGCCAACGACGACAACUACGCUCUAGCGGCGUAACACCCGCUAGCUGCUCACGGUCGGUGCCUGUGCCGGUCGCCGAGCAGUCAUAGACACAGGCUAGUGCCAGGGGAUAGGUCCGGUCCUCUGGUGCGAACCCCAAACGGGCUCGCUAUCGGGACGCCCUGCCGGUCGGGCACCCGGUAGUUAAACAGAAUAGAUCCGGCUAAGCAUGUAGAUCCGAGGGCGUAGCUCCUGCGGACGCGGGUUCGAUUCCCGCCGCCUCCACCA